UGACAAUAGAAAGAGAAAACACUGAUAACUCUGGUUCAUAUCCAUGGUGGCUGCCGUAUCUCUCCAUCUGUUUGGGUGUGCUGAUUCUGGUUCUUAUAGUAAUGCUGAUCUUGGUCCUGUGUAUUAGUGGAAGUAAAAAUUCAAGAAAAAAGAAAGCACAGAGAGCACAGGUUCAGUAUACAGAUCUUGUGAAGCAGGAUGAAUAUGUCUGUGUGCAGUACUCUGUGGCCCAUGACCACACAUCCGGCUGAACAUUAGCACCUGAAGAGUCUGCACUGAAUGUGUUAGGUGGAGGUGAUGAAUGAUACUUUAUCCUGCAUGAGAGAUGACUGCUUUAGCUGAGUUAUAUAAGCGUCUCUGCAUUGCUUCAUACGAACACCAAUGUCCCCACUGACCUGAAGCUUAUGUAAUUUUGCAAUAAUAUACAUUUCUAUACAAUAUACAAAUAUACAAAUGUACAAUAAAAGUUUUUCAAAGGCUUAUAUUUAAGAGAGACUCAUUUUCCAUGUUGUUUGGAGCUUGAUCACAUCUAUUAUGAGUUCAGACAAAUGAAAACACACAAAAAAAUUGCUUUUGAUAUUCUCCAGACAUGCUAUAUACCGGGACAAUUUAUUAGGAAAUGCAAUGACAUUCCGGAUGAUUCACCCUAACUAUAAACUAACACUUGAUAAAAACCAGUAGAUGAAGCCAUGCAUCUAAAUACUGAUCCAGCGUUGCCAACUCUGGCGUGACACUCGCGCUUGGACUUCAGCGUGAGAUUGAUGCUGAAAGCGUGAGUGUCACGCCAGAUGCGGGAGAUGGCAACCCUGGCUGAUUUUGUCUACCAAGAAUAACCCUUUGACAAGAUUUUGACUUUGAAUAUAAAUGCAUUGUAACUUAAAAUAAAUACAGUUAUGUUUAGUUUUUGUCCAUUUUCCUGAGCACUUUAUAAGAUAAGCAUUUCCUAGCAAUGAAGCAUGUUUCUGUGUGAGUUGUGUUCAGAAGUCUCAGUUAUUUAGUGUCGCCCAGUUCCCUCUGAAACCCUUUACAAAUGCUGGUAAGUGUACGAUGCAUAGCAUUUAAAAAUCUGUUCAGGUUUUAAAAGUUGUGUAGUGUAUUUUGACCUUAAACCUGGCAUUUGUCAGACUGGAGGAGGCCAGCAGAGUCACAAGGCCAAAACAAAUGCAUAUCAAAUAAGUGUCAAAUGAAGCUAAACAGAAUUUGGGCUGUUAGGCACAGCUACACACAAUCUUCUUAGCCUACUCUAUCAUCACAUGAACAAAUUGCUGACUUUUUUUCUCAGCUGAACAAAGCUGUACCAGCCAUCUGACAGGAGAACAGGUUUAGAUCUUUUAAUCUGGAAUUCUACAGUGGAAAAUGAGUUCGAUUUGGAAAGUGCUGAAACACAUUUUUUCCUGGAACACAGAUACAAAAAUGUCCUUGCCAAUGUUCUUGUCAGAAUGUCUGAAGCGCUGCGAGGAACCAAAAUAAUGUGUUCAUUAUUAAAACUGACAUCAUA
Molecule: long non-coding RNA, 1498 nt
Organism: Carassius auratus (goldfish)
Lineage: Eukaryota; Metazoa; Chordata; Actinopteri; Cypriniformes; Cyprinidae
Exons: 3
Source: RefSeq, a predicted model, not a curated record